RNAcentral lists this ribosomal RNA (1808 nucleotides) under uncultured eukaryote. RNAcentral's name for it is "SSU rRNA". It matches the Rfam family "Eukaryotic small subunit ribosomal RNA". The record is from RNAcentral.
AACCUGGUUGAUCCUGCCAGUAGUCAUAUGCUUGUCUCAAAGAUUAAGCCAUGCAUGUCUAAGUACAAGCCUCACUAAGGUGAAACCGCGAAUGGCUCAUUAAAUCACACCUCAUGUACUGGAUAGUCUCAGUUACUUGGAUAACUGCGGUAAUUCUGGAGCUAAUACAUGCAAACGAUGCCCGACUCACGGAGGGCUGCUUUUAUUAGAUCAAAACCAAACCGCUUCGGCGGUCUCUUUGGUGAUUCUGAAUAACUUUGGGCUGAUCGCACGGUCAUGCACCGGCGACGUAUCCUUCCAAGGUGUGCCCUAUCAACUGUCGACUGUGGCAUAGACGCCCACAGUGGUUUUGACGGGUAACGGGGAAUUAGGGUUCGAUUCCGGAGAGGGAGCCUGAGAAACGGCUACCACUUCUACGGAAGGCAGCAGGCACGCAAAUUACCCACUGGCCGAAGGCCGAGGUAGUGACGAAAAAUAACGAUACCGGACUCAUCCGAGGCCCGGUAAUCGGAAUGAGUACACUUUAAAUCCUUUAACGAGGAACAAUUGGAGGGCAAGUCUGGUGCCAGCAGCCGCGGUAAUUCCAGCUCCAAUAGCGUAUAUUAAAGUUGUUGCGGUUAAAAAGCUCGUAGUUGGAUCUCGGCAGGUAGGGGGCGGUUCGUUUCUGACGGCACUGCCCCAUUUACCUGUGUUUAUGCAAGAGGUCUCAAGGUGGCUUUAAUCGGCUGUCUUGGAACGCUUGCAGUUUUACUUUGAAAAAAUUAGAGUGCUCAAAGCAGGCUACAAAGCUUGAAUAUUUGUGCAUGGAAUAAUGGAAUAGGAAGUCGUUUCUAUUUUUUUGGUUUUCGGAAAUUGACUUAAUGAUUAAUAGGGACAGCCGGGGGCAUUAGUACUCAGACGACAGAGGUGAAAUUCUUGGACCGUUUGAGGACUAACUACUGCGAAAGCAUUUGCCAAGAGUGUUUUCAUUAAUCAAGAACGAAAGUUAGAGGUUCGAAGGCGAUCAGAUACCGCCCUAGUUCUAACCAUAAACAAUGCUGACUAGCGAUCCGUAGCUGUUUUUCUAUGUAGGCUCUACGGGAAGCUUCCGGGAAACCAAAGUUUUUGAGUUCCGGGGGAAGUAUGGUUGCAAAGCUGAAACUUAAAGGAAUUGACGGAAGGGCACCACCAGGAGUGGAGCCUGCGGCUUAAUUUGACUCAACACGGGAAAUCUCACCAGGCCCGGACACUGGAAGGAUUGACAGAUUGAGAGCUCUUUCUCGAUUCAGUGGGUGGUGGUGCAUGGCCGUUCUUAGUUGGUGGAGUGAUUUGUCUGGUUAAUUCCGAUAACGAACGAGACCCCUGCCUGCUAAAUAGUUUUGCUAAUGAUUUUUCAUUGGUAUUAUAACUUCUUAGAGGGACGUGCGUUCUAUUAAACGCAGGAAGAUAGGGGCAAUAACAGGUCUGUGAUGCCCUUAGAUGUUCUGGGCUGCACACGCGCUACACUGAAUGGAUCAGCGUGUUUUCCCUUCCCGAGAGGGACGGGUAACCCGCUGAACCCCGUUCGUGGUAGGGAUCGGAGCUUGCAAUUAUUCUCUGUGAACCAGGAAUUCCCAGUAAGCGCAAGUCAUAAGCUUGCGUUGAUUACGUCCCUGCCCUUUGUACACACCGCCCGUCGCUACUACCGAUUGAACGUUUUAGUGAGAAAUCUGGAUUCGACCUCUGUGGGUUCAUUCCCACAGUGUUGUCGGAGAAGUUUUUCAAACUUGAGCGUUUAGAGGAAGUAAAAGUCGUAACAAGGUAGCUGUAGGUGAACCUGCAGAAGGAUC